UACGUAGGGUGCGAGCGUUAAUCGGAAUUACUGGGCGUAAAGGGUGCGCAGGCGGUUGUUUAAGUCAGCUGUGAAAUCCCCGGGCUUAACCUGGGAAUGGCAGUUGAGACUGGACGGCUAGAGUGUGUCAGAGGGGGGUAGAAUUCCACGUGUAGCAGUGAAAUGCGUAGAUAUCGAGAGGAACACCUGCGGCGAAGGCGGGUUGCUGGGCUGACACUGACGCUGAGGCGCGAAAGCCAGGGGAGCGAACGGG
This 253-nucleotide ribosomal RNA is filed under the name uncultured bacterium. RNAcentral's name for it is "partial 16S ribosomal RNA". It matches the Rfam family "Bacterial small subunit ribosomal RNA", at positions 524 to 776 of the family's 1533-position model. The record is from RNAcentral.